GAGUAUCAAUUGGAGGGCAAGUCUGGUGCCAGCAGCCGCGGUAAUUCCAGCUCCAAUAGCGUAUAUUAAAGUUGUUGCAGUUAAGAAGCUCGUAGUUGAAUUUCUGCCUUGUCAUUAAUCUCGCUUCCGAGCGUUUUUUUAUUGGCUUGGCAUCUUCUGGAUUUGGUGCCUUCGGGUACUAUUUUCCAGGAUUUACUUUGAGAAAACUAGAGUGUUUCAAACAGGCAUUCGCCUUGAAUACUACAGCAUGGAAUAAUGAAGUAGGACUUUGGUUCUAUUUUGUUGGUUAUUGAGCCAGAGUAAUGGUUAAUAGGAGCAGUUGGGGGCAUUCGUAUUUAACUGUCAGAGGUGAAAUUCUUAGAUUUGUUAAAGACGAACUACUGCGAAAGCAUUUGCCAAGGAUGUUUUCAUUAAUCAAGAACGAAAGUUAGGGGAUCGAAGACGAUCAGAUACCGUCGUAUUCCUAACCAUAAA
This 474-nucleotide ribosomal RNA is filed under the name Babesia microti. RNAcentral's name for it is "SSU rRNA". It matches the Rfam family "Eukaryotic small subunit ribosomal RNA", at positions 539 to 1036 of the family's 1831-position model. Lineage: Eukaryota; Apicomplexa; Aconoidasida; Piroplasmida; Babesiidae. The record is from RNAcentral.